Long non-coding RNA from Capsicum annuum, 1925 nucleotides. RefSeq lists it as uncharacterized. The record is from RefSeq and is a predicted model, not a curated record. The transcript is spliced from 7 exons. Lineage: Eukaryota; Viridiplantae; Streptophyta; Magnoliopsida; Solanales; Solanaceae.
AAUUGGUCUUAGGGUUUAGACAGCCCCAUUUCUUCAAUACUAUCAUCAGAGACCGCAACUGAUACUCAUCUUCUUCUUCUUCUUCUUCAAUACUCAUCAACUGUUCAAGGAAUCGGGUUGUCCAAGUGAGAAAAUUAUUCAAUUGAGAAAAUUGUUAAGUGACCUUUGGUUUUCUUCAUUCAAUUUAGUUUGAAUCGUUCAUUGUACAUGUAUCUCUGUGACUGGGAAAGAAAAGAACUGAUGGUUUUGGGCUCUCCAUACAAUUUGUGAGAUAAACCUUCAAGUUAAAUAGGUUCACAGCCUUCUCCUGUUCUUCGUUUACCUGAAAUGGCUGGUACCUCUGGAUUUUUCUUUUGCAAUUUUCUCCGUAGCCUCUUGUGAUAAACUGAGCCUCCAUGUGCAAGUAAUUCCUUCCGAGAUGGAGUUUCAUCAUAUUGUUCCUCAUGAAGGUGAAAUGGAUGGUAAAGAAGGAAGUGAAGAUGGAAAGACCCCAGAUCCACCUAUUUGGACAAAGGAAGCCUAUGAUACUCUCCCUUGCGAUGCCUGAUACCAAGAAAAACCUCACUACCUUAGUGAAAUCAUUUAGUGAAUGUCGUCCAUUGAAGGAGCUUUCUAAUCUUACUUGGAUAAAUGGUAAUCGAGAUAAUAUCGAUGAAAUGUCCAACCCCAAUUCAUCAUCACUUCUUCUUUCAAUAUUGAAGAUGAUAGAUAGGGUGUUUUUAUUAAUCAAGCGUUUAUUGAGCCUUUUGGACUAACUUGGAUUGAGUGGAUUGCGAUGCUAGCUCAAGACUCUCUACAAGUGUGAAAAAGAUAUUUGAGGCUGUAGAGAAGGAAAGGACAGAGGGUUCCAUUGCAUUUAUCAUGGAUUUAUCUUUCAAUAUAUCAGAAGUACAGUCUUUCCUAGUUUCAGAGGGCAUGAAUCCUACUAAUUUUGAUGCUUACAUAUGCAAUAGCGGUGGUGAUCUCUAUUAUUCAUCCUUCCACUCUAAAUAAAAUCCUUUUGUAGUUGACUUGUACUAUCACUCACAUAUUGAGUAUCGUUGGGGGGACAAAGGGUUGAGGAAGACUUUGGUGCGUUGGGCAGCUUCUAUCAUUGACAAGAAGGAUAAAAAUGAAGACCACAUUAUUGUUGAGGAUGAAGACAAAUCAGCUGACUACUGCUAUACUUUCAAAGUCUGCAAGCCUGGGACAAUACAUUGACUAGUUUUCUCUAUCUUUUGGUGUUCUUUUUUCCUUCUUAAUUUCUCUUUUUUGACUUUUUAUUCACACCUCUUGUCACCCUAGGGGCGGUUCAACGCAGUGCUACUGCGGCAGUAGCAAAAGCUUUCAUAUUUUAUUAUUUGAGAAUCUGCUUUCACUAAUGCUGGCUGCUAAAUCAAGCUAGUUACUGGUUCAUGCUUGUGCUAGAUAUUCUUUGAAAUAUCUGACAUCUAUUUCUUCCAAGCAUCUGAUGUUAUAAUGCAAUUGCAGGUCAAUAACAUUUCUAUUUACACUCUCAUAAGUAAUUGUUGUUUAUUGAUAUUGCAGGUUCCUCCAGUUAAAGUACAUAGAAAAAUAAUGUGAAUUCAGGAACUUCGUUGUCAUGCUGUUUAUUGUAAAAAUGGGAGUAAGAUUAAUAUGAUCCCUAUGCUGGCAUAUCUGUCCCAAGCACUAAGGUGAUCAUGACAUAGAAGAUGGCGGGAACGAAAUUGAUGAACUAGACCUGACCUAAGAGAUCAAUCACAUUGGCUUUAUGUUACGCUAGCUGUUGGAAACUUUGACCGAGUAGUUUCAAACUUCUUUUAUUUUUGAACAUUCAAAACAUGUGUAUGUUUUGGUUUUUUUGAAUGGUCAAAAAAUAUUUGGUUUCUUAUUGAUUGACAUUUUGGGAAUUAAUAGUUACUAGUACUCUUGAUGAUGAAUAUAUAUGUACAUUUUAUGUGUUA